AUUGAACGCUGGCGGCAGGCCUAACACAUGCAAGUCGAACGGUAGCACAGAGAGCUUGUUCUCGGGUGACGAGUGGCGGACGGGUGAGUAAUGUCUGGGAAACUGCCCGAUGGAGGGGGAUAACUACUGGAAACGGUAGCUAAUACCGCAUAACGUCGCAAGACCAAAGUGGGGGACCUUCGGGCCUCACACCAUCGGAUGUGCCCAGAUGGGAUUAGCUAGUAGGUGGGGUAAUGGCUCACCUAGGCGACGAUCCCUAGCUGGUCUGAGAGGAUGACCAGCCACACUGGAACUGAGACACGGUCCAGACUCCUACGGGAGGCAGCAGUGGGGAAUAUUGCACAAUGGGCGCAAGCCUGAUGCAGCCAUGCCGCGUGUAUGAAGAAGGCCUUCGGGUUGUAAAGUACUUUCAGCGGGGAGGAGGGCGGUGGAGUUAACAGCUUCACCGAUUGACGUUACCCGCAGAAGAAGCACCGGCUAACUCCGUGCCAGCAGCCGCCGCGG
This 504-nucleotide ribosomal RNA is filed under the name uncultured bacterium. Its description in RNAcentral is "partial 16S ribosomal RNA". It matches the Rfam family "Bacterial small subunit ribosomal RNA", at positions 29 to 523 of the family's 1533-position model. The record is from RNAcentral.